RNAcentral lists this transfer RNA (74 nucleotides) under subsurface metagenome. RNAcentral describes it as "tRNA-Met". It matches the Rfam family "tRNA". From Rfam's summary of the family: Transfer RNA (tRNA) molecules are approximately 80 nucleotides in length. Their secondary structure includes four short double-helical elements and three loops (D, anti-codon, and T loops). The record is from RNAcentral.
CGCGGGGUAGAGUAGCGGUUACUCAGAGGCCUCAUAAGCCUUUCACGUGGGUUCGAAUCCCACCCCCGCUACCA